GUACACUCCUGCGGGAGGCAGCAGUGGGGAAUAUUGGACAAUGGGCGCAAGCCUGAUCCAGCCAUGCCGCGUGAGUGAUGAAGGCCCUAGGGUUGUAAAGCUCUUUCACCGGUGAAGAUAAUGACGGUAACCGGAGAAGAAGCCCCGGCUAACUUCGUGCCAGCAGCCGCGGUAAUACGAAGGGGGCUAGCGUUGUUCGGAUUUACUGGGCGUAAAGCGCACGUAGGCGGACUAUUAAGUCAGGGGUGAAAUCCCGGGGCUCAACCCCGGAACUGCCUUUGAUACUGGUAGUCUUGAGUUCGAGAGAGGUGAGUGGAAUUCCGAGUGUAGAGGUGAAAUUCGUAGAUAUUCGGAGGAACACCAGUGGCGAAGGCGGCUCACUGGCUCGAUACUGACGCUGAGGUGCGAAAGCGUGGGGAGCAAACAGGAUUAGAAACCCUGGUAGUCCC
This 449-nucleotide ribosomal RNA is filed under the name uncultured organism. RNAcentral describes it as "partial 16S ribosomal RNA". It matches the Rfam family "Bacterial small subunit ribosomal RNA", at positions 331 to 797 of the family's 1533-position model. The record is from RNAcentral.